GUGUAGCAAACAUAAUAUAGUAUACCUCUGCUGACACAGCAUAGAAAAAAUCAAUACAUGGGCACUACUAAUUCCAUUGUACAGGCAUAUUGACAUCAAAGUAAUACAGUUAAAUAUAUAACUCAAAAAUGAACUGUUACUGUUGCACCAGAUUUAACUCCACUUUUAGCAUUUUUUUGCGACUUUCAAUUUCGAGGUUGUCACCUGUGGCAACCAUUAAGGAAUCUCUCUAAAGUAAUAGCAGCUGCUCCUCCUGAUCCUCAAUUAUCUUGGUUACAACACCUAAAGCAAUCGUUCUACCUGAUACCCUCAGAGAUGCCCUUCCAAGAGCUUUGCAACUUGAGAACUCUUGCACACAAACUGGCCCAUGCAAAACAACCUCAAUCACUGCUUGUUGCUUUGAAGUAAGACAGCGAGGUGCCUUCUUUGUCACCUUGCCAGUCUUUGGAUCG
This 452-nucleotide unclassified non-coding RNA is filed under the name Hevea brasiliensis (rubber tree). Lineage: Eukaryota; Viridiplantae; Streptophyta; Magnoliopsida; Malpighiales; Euphorbiaceae. The record is from RNAcentral.